Molecule: long non-coding RNA, 1211 nt
Organism: Pezoporus occidentalis (night parrot)
Lineage: Eukaryota; Metazoa; Chordata; Aves; Psittaciformes; Psittacidae
Exons: 2
Source: RefSeq, a predicted model, not a curated record
UUUCUACUGUAAAUACUUUGAAAUUUACCAUCAACCUGGCUGAUGAUUGGCACUGUAUCCUGGGGUAAUGAAGGGAGGAAAAAAACCACAAUGGGCUUUGAAGCAGAUGUCUCAGAGAAUCUAAAAAAGUUCAAAUGCCACUAAAAUUCUCCUAUAGCUGCUCAGACUUCUCUCUUUUAGCCUACUUUCUGUUUUCAUUUACACUAAUGGAAAAUGACCAAUAUUGUAGUACUGGUAGUAGAUACUGGAACAAAUAUGGCAUCUAAUAGCUCCCUAAUUUAAAGUCAGAGGGGUUUGACCUAAAGCUCAACAAAAUCUCCCCAGGGAUUCCCUAUACAAACACACAAAACACACCCUUCCCAGAUGGUCCGUGUGGAAGGCAGAGACAGCGCAAGAAAUGGCUCUUGGAGAGUCCUUAUACUGGUCAGUCACAGGCUGCUGCGAACCAGGGAACUUCACGCACCAUCUCGUUAUUUGAUGGGGUUCACAUUCUCUCAGAUUUGUGUGUGAUGAAUAAUGCAAGUGUGUUGAAUCAAGCUGGAGGAAAAUUGUUCUUUCUCCAGCUUAUUAUUAACUCCUUGUUGCAUAAUAUAUUUGGCAUAAGUUUGUUCUGUGGCAUUUUAACAUGUAGGUAGAUGAUAUUUGUAUGCACUUCGGGGGAUUGCUGCUUUUCAGGACAGCGAGCAAGACUGGGGUCGUGGAGCCCUCUGCUGGGUAUAUUACAGAAAGCAGACAACUGGAAGCUUAAGUCAUUAACUCUGAAAAUGCUGCUGCUGUGCUCUCAUAUUCCUUUCGCAGUUGAUUACAAAUGUGCUUAAUUUGAAAUCCAAAAGAGGUUUAUUUCCAUUGCUCCUGGGAAAAAUACUGGUACAAUUUCAGAGUGGUACAGGUAAGUUAAUCUUUAUCUCAAGGUGACAAUUAGAUUUAUUAGAGUCUUUUUGUCUUUACUCUUCCUUGGUAUCAGGAAAAUUCUACAUGAAUAUUUUAUUGGUUUCUUACUGCUACACGUACAUCUUAUCACAGCUACAAAAAGGUCUUGUAGUCAAAUGACAGAUAUUUCUGAGGCUGUCUGUGACAAAAGGGUCUGUUUCAUUCCUGUAUUGUGACUUAUUUAGCUUUGUAGUGUUCACAGGUAUAAAAACUUAAUUCUUUUUGUGACAGAGAAAUGGGCAAUUCAUGUAAAAAUAAAUAGCAAAGUACAUGAAUAACAA